Long non-coding RNA from Micropterus salmoides (largemouth bass), 1104 nucleotides. RefSeq lists it as uncharacterized. Lineage: Eukaryota; Metazoa; Chordata; Actinopteri; Centrarchiformes; Centrarchidae. The transcript is spliced from 3 exons. The record is from RefSeq and is a predicted model, not a curated record.
UAUCAGUUGUGCCACGACAAGGUGUUGUCAACACUAGCAGACAUCUUGGAGCAGGAAAGUCAGAAAAAAACAAAAGACGGCUUCACACUGCAGGGGUUUCUACUCUGGGGAAGGUGGUGGAGCUAGAAGGGCCUCGGUUGGACGACCCUGUUGGACUAGCUGAUCAGCUUGGAUUAAGGUCUACUCGUGUCACAAAUUUCUUCCCAGAUGGACUUCCUGUGUUGCCCUGGAGACCAUUCAUCACCGUGACAACCAUGUACGCCACCUGCAGUUAUUGCUUGAGUCUAUUAUUAUAACAAGAAAUGCUGUUCGACGUACAUCACCCUGUAAAAUGCAUACAAGUUGUGUGUGUGCAUACCGUACCUGCGUCUCCCAGCGAACUGUAUAUGGAUAUACAGUACACAGCUGUACAUCCUCUUGCUCGCUCACAAGUCUUUCUCAGGCAUUCACUCAAUGGUGCCAAGUAUUGCACUUUAUAUCACUUUAACCUACUUUACUGCUUGUUAAACAGAGGACAGAGCAGUAAUGAAAAAGAACUACCCUGACUGAAAAUGCCACAGUUGUUACUGCUGGCUGGCUUGUACUGAGCAUUCACAAAAAUGGUAACACACAGCACAAUUACAGCUUUAUAAAGGCUGAGAAAGGGGCAGUGGUGUUGGCCAUGGUGGCAGAAAAAUGCAGGUGUAUGUACAGUAUAUCCAUUCACAUAGGGGGUCAAAGGAUAAACAUACGAAUAACACAUAGACACUCAAGUACAAAUAUUGACACAGACACACACUUGCACACACACACACACACACACACACAUACACACACACAAACACACACACACACACAUACAGCCCAGUUGUUCUACUCAUUAAAAGCUGUUUCCAUGGCAUUUAGAGCUGAGACUUCAGUCAUGUUAAUGAAAAAUCAGGCAAUUAGACCAACAAGUUGUUGCAAACUAUCUAGUAAUCGCUCUACAGAAAACAGACCUUUAAUACCAAAUUAACCACUAUAUAGUGGCAGCUAUAAUAUCUUUUGAUGCUUUUAUUCAUAAAAUAAUGAUAACAGAUAAGCAAAAAAGGUGCACUUACAGGCUUGCCCAAUGGGACAUUUAUU